Long non-coding RNA from Equus caballus (horse), 2236 nucleotides. NCBI's taxonomy places the organism in Eukaryota, Metazoa, Chordata, Mammalia, Perissodactyla, Equidae. The record is from Ensembl.
GCCCCCACUGGGUAAGUUAUCAGCUAUAUUUGGCGUAGUGAGUUUCUGGAUGGAAGAAAGAUGAAGAGAUUGGCAGGUGUGGAGUCAGGGACUCCUUAGUCUUGAAGGAAACAUCCAUGGCUUAGAGAGACCCUGUAAUUUGGGAAAUGUGAAUCUUGUACCCAUCUAUUCAGGACUCCUGAAGACAAAGAUGAGCCUUCUGUUUCCAGUGAUCAUGGGCCCCAGAUGAAGCCAGCCUGGGGGUAAUAAACCAGGUAAUUAUCUCCAUCCUUCCUGUGACAAUAAUGGUGUAGAGGCAGGUAAAAAUUCAUCAGAGGUGGCUUCGCAAGUCCCCAGGGAGACUCACGAUAAAGGGGCUGAUUGUCAGAAUCCGCCUCUGCAGCAUUACACCAGGGCUCUGUAAUGACGGCCCAGGGCCACAUUGUGCCUCCAGAGUAAAGAACUGUGGAGAUGAAAAAGAGACAGACACCUACAUUCCAGCACGGUACCCCACCAAGUCUGCGUGGAUGGCCUGGAUCAGUAAUUAGAAACACAGUGCCGUAAAUAUUGAAAGAAACUUCUGUAAACAUUCUAGAGGACAAUGAAAUUGGAAACAAUAAGCAGAUGGGCUUUUAUUCAAAGCAAAUCCUGCCAGAUGGACCCAGUACUACUUCUUCUUCUUUUUUUUUUGAUAAAAGUACAAAGUUGGUGAUGAAGGGAAAAUGGCACGUUUGAUGUCAUAUGUUUGAACAUUGUUAAAACAUUUGAGUCUUCCAAGAAGGCUGAUUUGCAGAAUUGGCUCAGAAUGCUUGGAAUAGAAGCACAUACCUGACAAAAAAGUUGGAUAAAUGCUGCUAAUUGGGCAAGAGAAAGUGCUGGAAUACUGGGCUGGCGGGACAGCCUCAGGAGCGGUCCUUCAAGGAACCAUGGAGCUUUGCAACCUGAAAGGACCUUAGAGAUCAUCAGUUCCAACCCUCUCAUUUAAGGCUAAGGAAACUCAACCAAAAGGAGACAAUGACUGCACACAACCAGGGCUAGAAGAGCUUACUUGACAAUUCGUUCUACAGAGUGAGGGCUAGGUCUCCUCUCCACCUGGCAGCUCUCGUAUGUGGAAAGGAAAUAAAAUGUGGUCAACUACAAUUCUGAAAGGAUUCUCAAUACACAGAUGAAAUAAUUGGACCCUGAGCAAAUCAAGGCCAAGAUAUAGAUCAUGCGCCCUUAACAUGGUGCGGCCUCAGACACAGCGGAGAUGGUGGUUGAGAAGUGGAAAGUUUUCCUACAGACCAUGCUUCCAAGGUCCCUGCAGUUUUUAAGUCCCUUUCAAUGGUAUUAAUUCAUCAUUGCUGUGAAGCUGAGAAGAUGUCAGAACUUGGGGAGAUUUGAUGACUUGUCCAACUAAGGUCAAACAGCAACAUGUAGUUGAUCGGGGACAGAGCACAUGUCGUCUGAGUGUAGCCAGGCUCCACCUCACCCCAAUUUGGCCUUUGGUAAAAUUCUGAUGAAGGCCUAGCCUUCUCUUCUGCCCUGGGACCCCCUCAGAAGUCUCCGCUCUUUCUCUGCUGGGCCCUUGUCCGACUCAGGUUCCUGCCCUUACGCAGUUCCCCAGAAGCCCAUCGUUCCUAACUUCACAGCCCUGCCCGAGCCCUCCUCCCAUUCCCUCCCCAUUCUUCGCCAGAACCUCUGGGUCUCCUUUCCUGUUUCUGCCCAGCUCUGUGCUCAGUGUUUUGUCACCCUAAAAUGCAUAAAGCUUUCAUAAACUAAUUUCCACCAUUGCCUUCACAGGUGAUAGUUUCACCUUCAGGAAGUCAUUUCUCCUCCCAAGCCUGCUUCCUCAUUAAAAAACAGAACACAGCAAUGAUGUUUGUGACUUACAGUGUGUUGUGACCUACAGUGAAGGAGCGUGCGUGAACACCACCUAGUCAAUGCCUAAUACAGUCUUUUCUUCCAGAAGCAGAAAUGCUAAUCAGGCCUUCAGCAUGAUGGGACUGAGGACUCACACUCCUGUGCUUUGCUUGGGCCCACGUGGACAACGGUUUUGCUGAAUCUUGUUUUUGGAGGUCCUUCUGGAGAGGCGGCCUGAAAGAAACUCUGGCAAUCAAGAGAAUGUUGUUGUAACCCAGCUUGCUGUACGACAUGGUUCACCAAAUUACAUUAGCAUAUAAAACUUGGACUAUUGAUUUCUUCUUGACUUGUUGCGGUUUCUGGGCAAAAGUCCAGUUUAUAGAAGCAGAGAGAACAUACACACACUUGAGUUGGG